GCCGGAUUAGCUCAGCUGGUAGAGCGGCUGAUUUGUAAUCAGCAGGUCGGCGGUUCGAGCCCGUCAUCCGGCACCA
Molecule: transfer RNA, 76 nt
Filed under: Alphaproteobacteria bacterium
Lineage: Bacteria; Pseudomonadati; Pseudomonadota; Alphaproteobacteria
Also listed under: 1 other name
Description: tRNA-Thr
Rfam family: tRNA
About the family: Transfer RNA (tRNA) molecules are approximately 80 nucleotides in length. Their secondary structure includes four short double-helical elements and three loops (D, anti-codon, and T loops).
Source: RNAcentral